Molecule: long non-coding RNA, 1212 nt
Organism: Prinia subflava (tawny-flanked prinia)
Lineage: Eukaryota; Metazoa; Chordata; Aves; Passeriformes; Cisticolidae
Exons: 3
Source: RefSeq, a predicted model, not a curated record
GGCAAGAAGACAGCUGCAGUUAGUGUGUGCAGCCUGUCAGAUUGCAACAGGAAAGGAGGGAUCACUUCCCCUGCCAGCCCUGUCAGUGCCUGGGCUAUACUGAAGGCUGGCACUUUGCCUUGGUAGGAGAAGAAUAGCUACUGGCAGAAAGGACGAAGGACUGGAGCUAACUCACCCCUCACUUACCUAAUGACAGAACUGCUGAGCAGCAGCUAAGCAGGCAGGGGCACCCAAUCUGGCUCCACAUGAGCCUGGUAGAAGAAAAUGUGGCACAGACACAUCUGCAUCUUGCUACGCUGCAAGCCUGGCAAACCUGACUGACUUUCCUGAAGAUGUUGUGGAUAGGGGACAGCAGGGAUGUCACCCUUCUGGAUGCAGCAAGCUUCUAAUGUGCCCUCCCAUAGGCUCCUUGAAGCCAAACUUGGGCACUAUGGACAAGUGGACCAUAAGCAACAGUCAGCAUCAUAAAAUACCUGAAGAAAAAUCACCAACCAAUACUUCAGUUCCACAUUCAGAAACAAGGGGAUUGUGAUGACACUGCUAUUUCAGACUCACCUCCCCUUCAGGGAGAAGGCAUGUGGUGCUCUGAAGAGCCUCAGCAGUGGAAGAGAUCCUGCUUCCAUGUUCACAGGAGACAGCAUCAAGUCAAUCAGAUCCAGAGGGAAUCCCAAACUCCCAUAGAGGGACCAGGCAACUUCAACUGUAAGACAAAAAGGACAAGAACUCUGUGUGAACACAGAAAGCAAAGGCAUCUCAAGAUUUGUCUGCAUGGGGCCAGUCUAGUGUGUGCUUUGGUAACGGGAUCCACCUGCAUUGUGUACAACUGUACAGUUAAUGGGGAAGAGAAGCUGUGGAGUUCUUGCAUGGAACUGAGUGUUAAUAAUGCUCCACAGCCCCAUUCCUGCUAAAAUUCAGUGCAGCACAUCCAGACAGGCAGCUGCAGUGGUUGGGUCCUGUGCUACUCCUCUCAGCUGUCUCUUAAAAGGACCUCAUUAAUCAGUCAAUAAAACAGCAAGGGAAUGUUUCUCACUUGCCUGGUGCCUGCUUUGUUGCGAGGAUGAAGUACUAGAAAACAACUGCAAUCUGGAGAAAGGAACAUCUGCUCCUCUGUCUGGGGCUAGACAGUCACAACAGAGGCUAGGGAGGCAAACAUCCACCAGUUGUGACUGCAAUAUUUGUGAGGACCUGGAGCAAACGGUCUCCAAGUGCAGC